This 6483-nucleotide long non-coding RNA is filed under the name Micromonas commoda. RNAcentral describes it as "long non-coding RNA (MCOM_LNC000260)". The record is from RNAcentral. Lineage: Eukaryota; Viridiplantae; Chlorophyta; Mamiellophyceae; Mamiellales; Mamiellaceae.
UCUACCCGUCGCUCAUCAUUUUGAUCCCUGUCGCCUCGUCCGAGGAAACUUUCAGUGACAACGACGGGUGCAGUCGUCAAAACCCAGCCGCGCGUUGCAGCACGUAUCGCCGCGAGAUGCCUCGCAGAAACGCCAGCCUUUGCGACCUCCCCGUGGAGCUCGUGGCGCUCGUCCUUUCCCACAUCGAGCACGUCAAAACACGACAGACACUAGCUAGAAGCUAUGAGCAUAGUCUUCGUAAGAGUAUGACAUUUUUUGAAAUUUACGCCUGGGGCGCACGAUGUGCGAAAACCCGAAAUUCAGAAGUUCCGCAUUUUUGUCCUGAUGAAGUAGACCCUCGAUGUCGAGUCAGGCAGCUCGCGAAUCGAACGCGUCGGGAUUUGUGUGUUGACGAUUUUCCAAACUUGGAACAGAACUUUCACUGAUUCUUGUGUCGUCUAGCGACCCUGUAGAACAUUUACGGACCGACCAUUUCGUCGGGCUCGUCAUACGCCCACACUUCGCUUCGCGCGUUCGACAAGCAAGACAAGACGCAGCAAACAUGCGCGCCACUACCCUCGUCUUUUCUCUCACCUUCGCACUCCUCGGCACGAGCGCCCACGCGAACAGUUCCGACGACAACAAGUACAUUUGUUUCAACACGACCAAGUACGUGGGGACCAAGAAUGUCGAAGUCGAUAUGGGUGGCACCUUACAGACAAAACCCUGCGACACUUGGAUCGACAUGUUGCAGACCGGCACUAAUGAUCUUGCCGGCAUCACCUUCGACGCGAACUUUGACGCCUCAACGGCGUCGGAUGCUGCUAAACGUCAUAUCCAGUCGUUCGGCACGACACUUAAAUGCUGCUCCGAUGGCAAAUCGGCUCUUUACAAGAACCAGAAGUAUUUUUGCAAAGAUCCAACCGAUUGGGCCCCAGACAAGACGUACAAAGGUCCCGAAACGAGCAACACGGAGCUCUCAUGCGACGUUUGGGUUGCAGGUGAUGAUGAUAUCAAAAAUGAAGAUUUUAGCAAGCCUUGGAGCUGCGACGAAAAGUCGGCAACGAUCAAGCAGGACGUUCAGCUCCUAGGUGCCGACGUCAUGGGUUGCUGCGGCGCCACCAAACAGUCCGCGUGCCACCCGUACUCUGUGUCCGGAGCGGCAUCCUUGCAGCAUGUCGGAGUCAUCGCCCUCGCUGCGGCCGUCGCCGUUUUCUUGGCGUAAAAAAUCGCCACCCACAAGGACAUGACGCCGUAAACACCGCGGCGAAGAAACGUCAUCGUCUCCGAGCCUCGACGGCUAUAGAAGAACGCGGCGAAUCGCCGCCAGCGCGACGCACAAUAAGGCUGGUUAGCCCCGCCACCACAUAGCAUACCGCUGGAAUGCAAGUUUUCCUUUUUCAUGAGCUGCCUGAUGACACGCGCUACCCGCCUUACUCCGACGUUCGCUCACUACUUUCGGUCACGGCGCGACGAACCUUCGGCGGCGAGCGAGAGACCUUCGCAACACUCACACGUCGCCCGUCCUAAACGCGCAGCCGCCCUCCUGCCAAGGCACCCUCGCGUACACCAGCAGCGUCGACGUCUCCGCGCACGACCCAGCCUCCGCGAUCAUCGUCUCACCGUCGCACCACACGUGCGCGUACGGCACCGAGGGCAGCGCGCCCUCCCGAAACGACCUGCGCAGACGCGGGCUCGGCGACAUGAGAGCGCCCAUGAUUCUCCCGGAUGCGACGUCUACCCCGUCCAGCGGCGUGCCCGUGCGCUCGAACCGCGUGGUGAGCAGGCACGCGCGCCGCGUCUCGAUCUCCUCGCGCGUUUCCAUCCCGACGAUCUCCUCGCGCGGCUCGGGGGACGUGGACGCGGGGGGAGGCGCGCGGCGCGCUCCGGUUGUCGCGACCCCGCCGAUGCGCCAGCUGGCGAAAUCGGCGGCGUCCGCGUCCAGCCGGCGUCCAACCGCGUCGCCUCCCCCGUCCACGUCACCAUCCACGUCACCACCACUCGCCUCAGAAGUCGCCAGCGUCUUCACCGGCGUGCCCCCGGUGCGCCAGUUGACAAACGCGCCGACGUCGACGUCGACGGCGAGCCGCGGCCGCCGCCGUGAGCCGCGCCGCCGCCGCCGCGCCGCCUCCGCCUCCUCCUCGCGGUCCAGCAUCGAUCCCGCGCGGGCAUCCGUCGCAUCCGCGUCCGUCUCGGCGUCAACGCCGCCCGCCGCCCCCCGCCCGUCGUCGAUCGAUCCAGAGUUCGAUCGAUCCUGACGUCGACCGACGGCGUGGAGAAGGCGAGCCUCGGUGACGAGGUCGCCCGCCACGCGGAAACGACCGACGCCGAAGGCAACCUCGGACCUCGACGUCAUCCUCAGCGACCGCCGCGGUGCGUACGUACCCCGCGUUCCGCGCGCGCCCUCGUCGCUCUCCUCCCGCGCGCCCGGAGCUCGGAACUCCACCGUCGCGGCGUCGGAACGAAACGGCACCGCGAGGCCGUUGAGGACGGCUUCCCCGAUUGAGAAGGGAAACGGCGCCCCAGUCUCUCGCUCGCCGAACGCCACGAUCCAUUCCUCUCCCGACCGACCCCCCGCGCUCAACUCGGCGGCGAGUCGCCACGGGGGGAAGAGGUCGGGAACUCGCGCCAGCCUCGCGGACUCGUGCUGCGCCUCCUUGGCGAUCCAGAAGAAGGGGGACGCGAGCCAGGUGGCGGGUGAACGGAGCGUGUGUUGGGCGCAACCCGCCAGUCUCCAUCGCGUCCCCGCGAGGUGGGGCGUUCGGUCGUCCGUGACGUCGCGCAGGCGGUCGACGGCGGCGCGGAGGGCCGCGACGUCGGCUUCCGUGGCGAGAACGCCGCCGUCGGUCCGGAGGCACCACGCGCGGACCUCCUCGACGGCGAGCGUCGCGACGGAGCUUUCGCGACCGACGACGUUGUUGCUUUUCUCGGGAUCGGUCGUGCUCUUGCCAUCGGGGGGCGACGACGGGGGCUCCCGCGAGGCGGCGGCGGCGUGCGGGAGGUUCGGACGUCGUCCGGCCCGGCGAUGGAAGGCCCGGGGCGAUGAUGCGACGGGGGCGAACCCGGCGACGGCGGACAUGGUCGCCAUCGACGGGCGCUCCUCGAAGUGACCGUGGGCUCCUCCGAGAGUUAUCGGCGCGUGCUGACUUGGCUGGCGGAGCGACAAGUCCUAAGUGAAAGUUUCGCGACGAGGGGCGGCGGCGGUCAGAGAGAGAGCGGCGCGCGCCUCCCUCCACGGGACGCACGCGACGUCGCGGACCUCGUCGAUUCUCACGCGAUGGGGUGGUACCUGUGCUACUUCCUCCACAGGCACCUGGACUUCCGCCGCGAGGAGCUGCAGGCGCUCGCCGACAUGGCCGGGUGCGGCGCCGACAUCAAGUGGCGCGAGCCGCACGGUGGCGUCGACCACUCCCCGUUCUGGCGCGUCUACAUCCCGACCGAGGAGCUCGCCGUGGAGGUAUGCAGGCGCAGCGUCCUGACGCGCGCUCUGAUCGAGGUGUGGGGCGAGGGCGACACCCAGGAGGAGCUCAACGCCGCCGUGAAAGCCUUCCCCGACGAACGCAAAGAUCCGUACAUCGCGGAGGGCACGACGUUCAAGGUGUGCGUCGAGGACUUUGGCAAGACCGAGCACGGCACGGAGAAGAACCCGUGGUCGCACGUCGUCGCGCGCAUCGACGCCCUCAAACCCGUCCUCCAAUUCAGGGGCAGGGCGAGGAUGAAAGGCCCGCAGCAUCUCUUCUGGUCCAUCGAAUCGGCAAACGCGGACGACCUCAAGGGUGUGCCGUCGGACAUACCCCCGCGAAGGUACUUCGGACGCGUCGUCGCCACCGGCGACCGAUCGCCGCUGAGCAAGUACGACCUGAAGAAGCGGCGGUACCUCGGUCCGACGUCGAUGGACGUGGAGAUGGGUUUGAUCAUGUGCAACAUGAUUCAGGCGAGGCCGGGGGGCGUCGUGUGGGACCCGUUCUGCGGCACCGGUUCGCUGCUCAUCAACGCCGCGCACUUCGGCGCCUUCACGAUGGGCUCGGACAUCGACAUCAGGGUCAUCAAGUGGGGCAAGAAGGACAAACGCACGGGGCAGAACGUCGACGUCUGGACCAACUUCGAGGACUACGGCUUGGAACCCCCCGUGGGUUUGCUGCGAAUGGACCUGCACAAGCACAGCUGGACCGCGUUGGCGCACGUAGAGGGGACGCUGCAGGGCGUCGUCGGGGACCCUCCGUACGGCGUGCGCGCGGGCGGGCGGAAGAGCGGCGGGCGUAAGCGCGGGACGGACGGCGCGGUCAAGCCCGUUCCCGAGGAGCACAGGGAGAACCACAUCCCGAGCACGGCGCCGUAUCCCUUCAGCGAGUGCAUGGACGACUUGAUGGACACGUCGGCUCGGCUGCUCGCGAUGGGCGGCCGGCUCGCGUUCUUCAUCCCGGCCGCGGCGGACCCGGAAGACGCCGCGGCGGCCGGGGUUGACAGCGUCCCGUCGCAUCCGGCGCUGAAGCUUCGCGCGUCGAGCGUUCAGCUGCUCAGCGGUCGGUGGGGCCGGAGGCUGGUGACGUUUGAAAAAGUCAAACCGUACGACGCGGCUAUCGCGAAAGCGGCGCGGGAGACGCUGAGAGAGCGACGCAAGACGGAAGGGGGCGUGGAGGACUUGCUGGAGCGCAUGCGCGAGAUCGUGUACCAGCCGCGGGGGGGUGACGGACCGGGGGUGGACGAGGACGGGAACGCGAAGCCGCGGAGAAAGAGGGGGACGGGGCCCAGCGGGGGUAAGUUUACGCCGACGCCCUCCAAGCCGGAGGCGGCGGCGGCGCUGCGGGCGGCGGGCGGCGGCGGCGGCGGCGGCGGGAGCGACGGCGGGAGCGGCGGCGGCGAGGUGGGCGCCAUGCACAGGGCGCACUCGGCGGUCGGGGUCAAGAUGGACAAGGCGAAACGCCCAGAGUUCAGGGGUAAGAACACUUAGGUUGAACACUUAGGUUGAACACUUUGUCGACCCGCCGUUGUUUGCGACGGCGCUCCGCGUCCCAUCCCUCGUCUUCGUCUUCGUCUUCUUCGGCUUCUUCGUCGUCUGUUUCGUCGUCGUCUCGUCCUUCUUUUUCUCAGUCUCCUCUCAGGAGGUCCGGGGGAUACGCCGGGUGACUCUUCCAGUCGAACCCCUCGGACGAGUGACAAAGCCGAGCCGGCGGGGCGAACCAGGAAACGAACCUUCGCGGCGAGCGUCUCAAACGCACGCGCCGCCGCUCCUCGUUCAAUCGCCUCAGCGUCACCGGGUCCCUCCUCCCGCCCGUCACCGGGUCCUCGAGGUAGUCGACGCCCGUCUGCAGCUGCGACGUCUUCGCCCGCUCCCGCAAAACCCCUUCGUUGUACUUUUCCACGCAGGCGGGGAAGUCUCUCUCGAAGUCGGCUCGCGCGCGCGCGGGUCCAUCUCCGCGGUUGUACGCCACGAUCGUCUCCUUGAACUUCUCGACGAAGGUUCGGAAGUUGGCGUCGAUGAGCACAGCGUCCGACGGGUCGUCCUCGGCGGCGUCGAGUUCUGCGCGCGUCGUGAGCACGCGCGUCGGGGCCCCGCUCGCGUCGUCCGCCGUCUUCGCCGGGGCGAACUCCACGAGGGUGCCGAGGUCGUCGAUGUUGAAGCCGAGGGCGUCAAUGAGAUUCGCGAUGGCGUCGGGGUCCGUGAGGGUGCCGAGGUCGUCGUCGUCGUCGUCGUCGUCGUCGUCGUCGAGACCGUCGAGACCGUCGAGACCGUGGAGAACCGGCGCUCGCCUCCUCCAAGGGGGCUCGUAGGGGCGGAGGGGAGGGUCCACGAGGAAAGUCGCGCGCUUUAUCGGACUGACGUCCAUGUCGGAGGCGUCGUCGACGAAGGCGUCGUCGUUAAAAGGUGCAUCGUCGUCGUCGAAGACGUCGAUCUCCGAGGAGGUGUCGACGAUGCACCUCUCGACGACGGCGCGCACGUCCUCGAUAUCGCGCUCCUGUCGCGAGGCGCCUCCUCCCACCACCGCUUUCGUCGCGCUCGCGGGUCUCGCCACCGGGCGCGGGUAUCGCACCCCGCGCACCACGUAGCCGUCGGGUAGUGCAUCGUCGUCGGGUAGUGCAUCGUCGUCGCGAAGGGUGGCCUCGUCGAUGAUGAGCAUGGCGCCGCGGGCCGCGGGCGCGAGUCGUGGCUCCGCGUCCCUCCAGCCUUUAAAAACCUAUUCGACGAGAGACUCCAUUACUUCACGAAAAGCCACCCGUCGUGGCGCAGUCGUCAAAACCCAGCCGCGCGUUGCAGCACGUAUCGCCGCGAGAUGCCUCGCAGAAACGCCAGCCUUUGCGACCUCCCCGUGGAGCUCGUGGCGCUCGUCCUUUCCCACAUCGAGCACGUCAAAACACGACAGACACUAGAAGCUAUGAGCUCGACGUUCCAAGAGGCUUCUUCCCUGCCCGAGGCUUUGCCGCGGACUUUCGACUUCGAGAGGCUAGCGGGCGAUGAUAUCGCCGACCACCUCGUUCGUGUCCUGGAUGAUGAUCGCGUGCGCC